This 253-nucleotide ribosomal RNA is filed under the name uncultured bacterium. RNAcentral's name for it is "partial 16S ribosomal RNA". It matches the Rfam family "Bacterial small subunit ribosomal RNA", at positions 524 to 776 of the family's 1533-position model. The record is from RNAcentral.
UACGAAGGGGGCUAGCGUUGUUCGGAAUUACUGGGCGUAAAGCGCACGUAGGCGGAUAUUUAAGUCAGGGGUGAAAUCCCAGAGCUCAACUCCAGAACUGCCUUUGAUACUGAGAAGCUUGAGUCCGGGAGAGGUGAGUGGAACUGCGAGUGUAGAGGUGAAAUUCGUAGAUAUUCGCAAGAACACCAGUGGCGAAGGCGGCUCACUGGCCCGGUACUGACGCUGAGGUGCGAAAGCGUGGGGAGCAAACAGG